AAAGCACUUUCUUUUUUAAAGACCUUUUUUGAAGGUAUGCUUAAGGAGGGGCUUGCGACACAUUAGUUAGUUGGCAGGGUAAAGGCCUACCAAGACUAUGAUGUGUAGCUGGACUGAGAGGUUGAACAGCCACAUUGGGACUGAGACACGGCCCAAACUCCUACGGGAGGCAGCAGUAGGGAAUUUUCGGCAAUGGAGGAAACUCUGACCGAGCAACGCCGCGUGAACGAUGAAGUACCUCGGUAUGUAAAGUUCUUUUAUUAAGGAAGAAAAAAGAGUGGAAAAACUCCCUUGACGGUACUUAAUGAAUAAGCCCCGGCUAAUUAUGUGCCAGCAGCCGCGGUAAUACAUAAGGGGCGAGCGUUAUCCGGAAUUAUUGGGCGUAAAGGGUGCGUAGGCGGUUUAAUAAGUCUAUAGUUUAAUUUCAGUGCUUAACGCUGUUGUGCUAUAGAAACUGUUUUACUAGAGUGAGUUAGAGGCAAGCGGAAUUCCAUGUGUAGCGGUAAAAUGCGUAAAUAUAUGGAGGAACACCAGAGGCGUAGGCGGCUUGCUGGGACUUUACUGACGCUGAGGCACGAAAGCGUGGGGAGCAAACAGGAUUAGAUACCCUGGUAGUCCACGGCCGUAAACGNAUGAGUACUAAACAUUGGGUAAAACCAGUGUUGAAGUUAACACAUUAAGUACUCCGCCUGAGUAGUACGUACGCAAGUAUGAAACUUAAAGGAAUUGACGGGACUCCGCACAAGCGGUGGAUCAUGUUGUUUAAUUCGAAGGUACCCGAAAAACCUCACCAGGUCUUGACAUGCUUCUGCAAAGCUGUAGAAACACAGUGGAGGUUAUCAGUUGCACAGGUGGUGCAUGGUUGUCGUCAGCUCGUGUCGUGAGAUGUUGGGUUAAGUCCCGCAACGAGCGCAACCCUUAUUGUUAGUUACCAGCACGUAAUGGUGGGGACUUUAGCAAGACUGCCAGUGAUAAAUUGGAGGAAGGUGGGGACGACGUCAAAUCAUCAUGCCCCUUAUGACCUGGGCUACAAACGUGAUACAAUGGCUGUUACAAAGGGUAGCUGAAGCGCAAGUUUUUGGCGAAUCUCAAAAAAANCAGUCUACA
Molecule: ribosomal RNA, 1107 nt
Filed under: Yucatan papaya X phytoplasma
Lineage: Bacteria; Bacillati; Mycoplasmatota; Mollicutes; Acholeplasmatales; Acholeplasmataceae
Description: bacterial SSU rRNA
Rfam family: Bacterial small subunit ribosomal RNA
Source: RNAcentral